GCUGUGUCAAGCGUGCCCUUCCUACCAGGGGGGAAUAUUUACAACGGAGGCUGCUGGGAUUACACGCCAACGAAUGUUCACAGAUGUUCUUCACGUGCAACUGCUCUGAAGUGAAUAUGAACAACCUCGCCAGAGGACUUCUGUUGCAAAUGCAUCCGAUGAUUCGAAUUAAGUUUCAUGCUCCUUUGCCCAAGGAAAACGUUCUUCAUUGCAGCAACAAUACUCAAGAACGUAAUGGAAUAGAACAAUCCACGUACAGAAAAACUUCUUCAUUUACCAAAGAUGGGCGAAAAGAAUUCGGCAAGAACUGGAGACUCGCAAGAUUGUGAACGAGAUUUAUCAGCAGACCACGAAUGAGCGUGUUAUUGGCGAUUAAGCGAAUUGCAGUUAGACGGUUUCGAAAGGAAGUUAAAAUUAGAAGUUAUCGUAAUUCUCGCACUUAUGGGGUUUCGUUCAACUGGUUGGACUGAUUUCGGUUUUACGGGGAUUGUAAACGCAAUGAUGAUGGGAUUGCAUUUCGCUUGUGGAAAUGCUCUAAGACGAGAAGGCAAGUUUGAAAUAGGUCGAAAUAUUUGUAGGUGAAGAACGCGAAAAUGAGGGAAAAUAAAUUUUAUGCAAUAAUGUAAAUCUGACCAAAAUCGAAAUAUUCGCAAGCAAUAAUUUUAUGCAGAAUAAUAAUUUUGGUGAAGCAAAACUUUAUGUGUCAUUUAUGUGAUUGAACGUUGCUUUUUUACACAGCAAUACGAAUAUAGAAAUUUCGAUUGAACAGAAUUAAAGUUUGCUUUUUUAUAAAACUGCUAACUCCACCAGUUUGUGUAAAUGCCGCAUACCUGAACAGGAUUAUAUUGUUGAACUGCUGUCGGACCAAGACAAAGAUUUUCUAAUAUUUUGAUUUUGAAACGUCAUAUUUAUUAAAUGUUUGGACUGCGAACUCUGUUUGGCUGAAAAUCUAAAUGUAUCAUGGAACGAUUUUCAACGUUUUUAGAGCCGGCUGUUACGAAGUAUGAAAAAAAGGCGGCGGAAGUUCUUUCACAUAAAUCAAGAGGAUUUCAACAGAAAAUGAAAGCAAUAAAUACAUCACCUCUUUGAAAGUUUUCAAAUAGAAGCAACUUUCUGUCAGGUAGUAAUUUUAACGAUUGAUUCCGAUAUUUAAACUGUACUAACAACUUUAAAGUGAAUGUAUAAACAAUACAAGUACUCCAUACUUUGAGAGCAAAGCUAUUUCAUUCAUAAGCAAUAAAUUCUAACACAUAUUUGAGAAGUUUUCGUGAAUAGAUAAAGCAAACUGACAUCAGAAGUUUGACGUCGCGGAAGCUAAAUCUGAUUUUUAAAUUUGGGUAAAGGAAGCGCUGCAAGUGGGAUCGAAGGAAUGUCAAGUGGUCGACCGAAACAUUGAUUAAAAAGCAGGCGAGAAUUUUUUCAAGAUUUUCUAGCGAGGGAUUGAUCGUCCCGGUCGAUCAAGAGCGAUGCCUCGUUCCUUCCUUGUGAAGAAAGUGAAACACCCUGUUGAUCAUAGCAACCGGUGGCCUUACCAUGAACCAACUGAAGCGGCCACUCCGCCCCCUGGAUUCACCAUACACUACACCAACGAAUGUUGCCGCCAGAGACUUCAACCAUGCAAUGGACGCCUGCAUGCAGUUUCUCAUCAUCGUCGAAGCUCUGUGUUGCAAGGAAACCUAACAAUGUGAACAUUGUGUUGGAAUGUGUGGAAACAAGUGGCAAUCGUUAGGAGCAAGGUCCGAACUCUGCGGUGGAUGACCAAAUAACUCCCGUCUGAAAUCAUCCAAGAGCCGUCGAUUUUGAAUGUCUACGUUGGAGGCAUGUAUUGUCAAGAAUGAAAAAAACCUUGAAACUCAAAUUUUCUCGACGCUUGUUUUGUAUCGCUCUUCUUAACUUCUUUAAUGUUUUGAAAUAUCUCUCACUUUUUAUUGUUUCAUCACGUUCGAGGUAAUCCACCAGAAGCACAACUUUCCCUGUUCCACAAAACAGUUGCCAAGAUCUUUCUUGAUGUAUGCAAACAUUUACUUGGUUUUCCUGGGAGAACUUUUGUGACCCCACUCCAUAGACUGCUGUUUUGUCUCACAAGUCACGAACUUUACCCAAGUCCUGUCUCCUGUUAUGACACAAUCCAGAAGUGGUUCACUUUGUUCGUGGUACAUCUCGAAAAAUGUCAAAGCUGCUGCAUUCCCUGCUUUUUGUGGUGUUCUGACAAGAGUUUUGUUACCCAUGUUGCACAAAACGUGUGAUAGCCUAGAAGUUGCGUCACGUCAUCAAACAGCAAAGUUAGUAAAAUAAGAGGAAGCUCUAGUGAGAGCUCUUAAAUUUUGAAGCAGCGGCUUUCAUGAAUCUUUUCGUUGAUUUUCUAGUAUACCAGUUAAACAUUAAGAAUGCUCGACCAGCCACUUCUUGCUUCCUCUUCAAAAAUAGUGUGGCCAUUUUUUAACAUUAUGCACCAUUGUAUCACCCCGGGUUUACUCAUUAUGUCGUUUCCAUACACCGUACAAUGUUCCCGAUGAAUUUCAAUUGGUCUCGGGGUUUUGCGAACAGAACUUUAAUCACUAAUCGCACUUCACAACUGAAUUUUCUAUUGCCGCGCACAUUUUAAACAUUCGCAGUGAACAAAGCAGAGGCAACACAUACUGCCAACAAUUAGAACCGAAUGCGUAAGUAUUCAGUAGACACUCUGAUGCCAAGAUUGGGCUGCUAAUGCUAUCUCUCGUGGCGCAGUGGCAAAGCGUAAGUUGCUUUCUGAAUUGCCCUCGUAGUAAUAGAAUAAUAGAAAUCUGUAUAAUUCUAUUCUUAAGUUAAUGUAGGACUUGUUCAAACAAUUUUAUGGAGUAGCUUUUCGUAUUUCGUCCACGAACGCAUAUCAUCUUAUGACGUUAUUUAUCAAACUUAAUUACGUGAAAUUCAUUCUUUUCGUUUAAGAUCAAAAAAAGAUAGUAAAAUUUCCAAUGAAAUGUGAAAAUUACUUGAUUAAUGUUCUACAGAACCAGAUACUCUUUUUGGAUAAUAUUAUUUCCAGUUUUAAUAUCGAAAUAGAAGAAACUGCUUUGUUAUUUGACUGAGUAAAAUUCGGAAUGAAAAAGCAGAAAAUGGAGACGAAAAAUAAUAGAUAAAGAUAAAAAAUUAUUAUGUAAUUUUCAGAAAAACUGAUAAUUACGAUAUCUAGUGAUAUGUAAAUAAAGCUGUAAAAUUUUAAUAAAAAGUUAUUACAAUA
Molecule: unclassified non-coding RNA, 3220 nt
Organism: Stegodyphus dumicola
Lineage: Eukaryota; Metazoa; Arthropoda; Arachnida; Araneae; Eresidae
Source: RefSeq, a predicted model, not a curated record